RNAcentral lists this long non-coding RNA (565 nucleotides) under Helianthus annuus (common sunflower). RNAcentral describes it as "hypothetical non coding rna". Lineage: Eukaryota; Viridiplantae; Streptophyta; Magnoliopsida; Asterales; Asteraceae. The record is from RNAcentral.
AUGGGCUAUCUGGACCAUUUCCACCUCAAGAGUAUUGCUCUUGAAUCGUAUGAACUAGUUACUGUUUUUUGUUAAUUUACCUUAUAUGUUACAACAUGCACGAAUUAAUAUAAUACAUAACUAGGUUAGAACCUCAUAUAUUACACGAGUUGAAUAAAUAUAAUUUUGUAUAUUAAAUAAUACAACAGUAAAUCUUUAAAAACCUCGUUUAUUACAUGGGUUGAAUAAAUGUAAUUUUAUAUAUAUUAAAUAAUAAAAAAAUUAUAUCUUUAAAACCACGUGUAUUGUACGGGUUGAAUAAAUCUAAUUUUAUAUACCAAAUAAUAAAACAUGUUAUAUCGUUAAAAAUCAUGUAUCUUUAAGAACCUCGUGUAUUGUAUGGGUUGAAUAAAUGUAAUUUUAUAUACCAAAUAAUAAAAUAAUUUAUAUCUUUAAAAAUCAUGUGUAUUACACUUGAAUAUAUGAAAUUUAUAUAAUAAAUGAUAAAAAAUGAUAUCUAUAAAAAUUAUAUCUUUAAAAAAUCUCGUGUAUUGUACGAGUUGAAUUAAUCUAAUUUUAUAUACAA